This 397-nucleotide ribosomal RNA is filed under the name uncultured bacterium. Its description in RNAcentral is "partial 16S ribosomal RNA". It matches the Rfam family "Bacterial small subunit ribosomal RNA", at positions 523 to 918 of the family's 1533-position model. The record is from RNAcentral.
AUACGUAGGUGGCAAGCGUUGUCCGGAUUUACUGGGCGUAAAGGGAGUGUAGGCGGAUACUUAAGUCAGAUGUGAAAUACCCGGGCUCAACUUGGGUGCUGCAUUUGAAACUGGGUAUCUAGAGUGCAGGAGAGGAAAGUGGAAUUCCUAGUGUAGCGGUGAAAUGCGUAGAGAUUAGGAAGAACACCAGUGGCGAAGGCGACUUUCUGGACUGUAACUGACGCUGAGGCUCGAAAGCGUGGGGAGCAAACAGGAUUAGAUACCCUGGUAGUCCACGCCGUAAACGACGGGUACUAGGUGUGGGAGGUAUCGACUCCUUCCGUGCCGCCGUUAACACAAUAAGUACCCCGCCUGGGGAGUACGGUCGCAAGAUUAAAACUCAAAUGAAUUGACGGGG